UGAACGCUGGCGGCGUGCCUAAUACAUGCAAGUCGAGCGAACAGACGAGGAGCUUGCUCCUCUGACGUUAGCGGCGGACGGGUGAGUAACACGUGGAUAACCUACCUAUAAGACUGGGAUAACUUCGGGAAACCGGAGCUAAUACCGGAUAAUAUAUUGAACCGCAUGGUUCAAUAGUGAAAGACGGUUUUGCUGUCACUUAUAGAUGGAUCCGCGCCGCAUUAGCUAGUUGGUAAGGUAACGGCUUACCAAGGCAACGAUGCGUAGCCGACCUGAGAGGGUGAUCGGCCACACUGGAACUGAGACACGGUCCAGACUCCUACGGGAGGCAGCAGUAGGGAAUCUUCCGCAAUGGGCGAAAGCUUGACGGAGCAACGCCGUGUGAGUGAUGAAGGUCUUCGGAUCGUAAAACUCUGUUAUUAGGGAAGAACAAAUGUGUAAGUAACUAUGCACGUCUUGACGGUACCUAAUCAGAAAGCCACGGCUAACUACGUG
This 495-nucleotide ribosomal RNA is filed under the name uncultured bacterium. RNAcentral's name for it is "partial 16S ribosomal RNA". It matches the Rfam family "Bacterial small subunit ribosomal RNA", at positions 30 to 507 of the family's 1533-position model. The record is from RNAcentral.